CUACCUCAUGUUGUUGUGCGCCUAGUACUGUUCAUCAAUCAUGUACUAGGCUGACUGAUCCGGGCGAUGAUGGGCCUCGGCCCAGAUCCAUCUAGCACAGCCCAGCAAGCCAGGCCAUCAGCAUAGGCGAGGUUCCGGCCCAGAUCCGCGCAGCAUUUGCUUCUUCCCGGAUAGGAUCACGAAGUGGUGUGGUGAGAUACGA
This is a long non-coding RNA of Lolium rigidum, 202 nucleotides long. RefSeq lists it as uncharacterized. The record is from RefSeq and is a predicted model, not a curated record. NCBI's taxonomy places the organism in Eukaryota, Viridiplantae, Streptophyta, Magnoliopsida, Poales, Poaceae. The transcript has 3 exons.